Molecule: transfer RNA, 135 nt
Filed under: Parastagonospora nodorum
Lineage: Eukaryota; Fungi; Ascomycota; Dothideomycetes; Pleosporales; Phaeosphaeriaceae
Description: tRNA-Leu
Rfam family: tRNA
About the family: Transfer RNA (tRNA) molecules are approximately 80 nucleotides in length.
Source: RNAcentral
GGCAAGAUGGCCGAGCGGUUAAGGCGCUAGCUUCAGGUGCUAGUAGAGUAAUCUGCGUGGGUGUAAGUUUUCUCCAAAGUUCCUUGCUUCGACUCAUCGUUCUAACAAAAAAACAGUCGAGUCCCACUCUUGUCA